AUCACAGUAUUCACAAAAAAAAGAAAAAAAAAAAGAAGGGCAAACCACAGUGAGUGUUGAAAAACGAACCGGACCGGUCAGUUCAAAUCGAAGACAAAUAAAUCGCCUUCUAUCUAGCCAUCCUCCGCCGUGCCGUUCGUCCGGUUCAGAUCGCGCAUUGAUUGCACACUGCAGCGAGUUCGAAUUCGAAACUUGAGCUCCAUCGGCGCUGUUCAAUUUGAUUCCCUUGAUUUGGGCUUCAACCUUUGCUGAACAAGAUCACUGAAAUAGGAGAGAAGUAUGAUAAAACUUCUUCUACACAGGGGGAUGUCGUUGGAGGAAACUCUUGCGAGGUGGUUGAUAUGACAUUGGAUUGCUUUGUUUGGUGGGAACAAACGGAGUGUUUUGGAAGGCCAGUAUCUGGGCGGCCCAAAAGCUUAAGCCCAAACCCCUCUUACCCUCUUCACGUCAGCCCUACUGGCAAGACAACACCAACUCCUAUGCCUUGGGCGACCACCCCCAAGGUGAGACAUCAAAAUGUCUCACCUUGGGAUACCAACCCUGCAAGAUACCACCCCAGGUGUCAUAAGCGGUAAUCCCCUCUUUGCAGCCGCAGCAACCAAUGCUGCGAUCACUUGCAUAAUGACUGCGCCACUGUCACCACAGCAGUGUCAGCCAGGUCUAACCUUCCGAGAGUUGACUUCUACCACCAACUCACCCCAAGCAAGUACCUCACCCCCUAUAAAUAACCCCCUCAAAUUAGAGAGGGACAUCUUAUGUAUCGUUACCCUGUCAAUUUACAAGUCUAAGCACAUUCACUAAACCCCCUCCCCACAUCAUUUGUUAGUUUAGUUCAUACUUGGGCCAACAUCGCUUAGCUUGGUCUUUACUGUGCUAGUAGUGUAAUCCAUACAUCGAUCAUCAUCCCCUAAGGGAACAUAUUGGGCUUGUAGACCCCAACGGUACACGGGGGAAAGUAUUUGCAAGAGGCACUCUGACACUUAAAUUAGUGUUUGAUUAAUGAGUUUUAGUAAAGAUGGAUAAGAUAUCAUACUUAGCAUCAAGCUUUCAUUAUAUAUUGAUUGGAUGUCGUGUUUAUGCGGC
This is a long non-coding RNA of Gastrolobium bilobum, 1083 nucleotides long. RefSeq lists it as uncharacterized. The transcript is spliced from 3 exons. Lineage: Eukaryota; Viridiplantae; Streptophyta; Magnoliopsida; Fabales; Fabaceae. The record is from RefSeq and is a predicted model, not a curated record.